UGGGGAAUUUUGGACAAUGGGCGAAAGCCUGAUCCAGCAAUGCCGCGUGUGUGAAGAAGGCCUUCGGGUUGUAAAGCACUUUUGUCCGGAAAGAAAUGGCUCUGGUUAAUACCUGGGUCGAUGACGGUACCGGAAGAAUAAGGACCGGCUAACUACGUGCCAGCAGCCGCGGUAAUACGUAGGGUCCAAGCGUUAAUCGGAAUUACUGGGCGUAAAGCGUGCGCAGGCGGUUGUGCAAGACCGAUGUGAAAUCCCCGAGCUUAACUUGGGAAUUGCAUUGGUGACUGCACGGCUAGAGUGUGUCAGAGGGGGUAGAAUUCCACGUGUAGCAGUGAAAUGCGUAGAGAUGUGGAGGAAUACCGAUGGCGAAGGCAGCCCCCUGGGAUAACACUGACAGCUCAUGCACGAAAGCGUGGGGAGCAAACAGGAUUAGAUACCCUGGUAGUCCACGCCCUAAACGAUGUCAA
This 467-nucleotide ribosomal RNA is filed under the name uncultured bacterium. RNAcentral's name for it is "partial 16S ribosomal RNA". It matches the Rfam family "Bacterial small subunit ribosomal RNA", at positions 355 to 815 of the family's 1533-position model. The record is from RNAcentral.